GAUGAACGCUGGCGGCGUGCCUAAUACAUGCAAGUCGAGCGAACAGAUGAGGAGCUUGCUCCUCUGACGUUAGCGGCGGACGGGAGAGUAACACGUGGAUAACCUACCUAUAAGACUGGGAUAACUUCGGGAAACCGGAGCUAAUACCGGAUAAUAUAUUGAACCGCGUGGUUCAAUAGUGAAAGACGGUUUUGCUGUCACUUAUAGAUGGAUCCGCGCCGCAUUAGCUAGUUGGUAAGGUAACGGCUUACCAAGGCAACGAUGCGUAGCCGACCUGAGAGGGUGAUCGGCCACACUGGAACUGAGACACGGUCCAGACUCCUACGGGAGGCAGCAGUAGGGAAUCUUCCGCAAUGGGCGAAAGCCUGACGGAGCAACGCCGCGUGAGUGAUGAAGGUCUUCGGAUCGUAAAACUCUGUUAUUAGGGAAGAACAAAUGUGUAAGUAACUAUGCACGUCUUGACGGUACCUAAUCAGAAAGCCACGGCUAACUACGUG
This 497-nucleotide ribosomal RNA is filed under the name uncultured bacterium. RNAcentral describes it as "partial 16S ribosomal RNA". It matches the Rfam family "Bacterial small subunit ribosomal RNA", at positions 28 to 507 of the family's 1533-position model. The record is from RNAcentral.